Long non-coding RNA from Piliocolobus tephrosceles (Ugandan red Colobus), 1624 nucleotides. Lineage: Eukaryota; Metazoa; Chordata; Mammalia; Primates; Cercopithecidae. The record is from Ensembl.
AAUGGUAGUGGUAAUGGUAGUGGUAAUAGUAGUGGUUAUGGAGGUGUUAAUGGAGGUGUUAAUGGAGGUGUUAAUGGAGGUGUUAAUGGAGGUGGUAAUGGAGGUGUUAAUGGAGGUGUUAAUGGAGGUGGUAGUGAACAUAUGUUUAUUUAUAAUAAUGUACAAAACGAAAUGUAUAGAGAUCCAAAUUUUCAUCGUAACGUAGAUAUAAAUUAUACUAGAGAUAUAAAUAUACCUAACACAAAUAAUUCGAAAGAUGUAAAAAAUAAUAAUACAUUUGGAGAUAAUAUAGUAGUAAAAAAUAAUAUGAGAAAAGAAAGUAUAAAAUCUUUUAUAAAUAGUAAUAAUUUUAAUAAAAAAAAUCUACAUCUAGUAAUAAUGAUACAUUUGUAACAGGUCAUGAUCAAGUUAACAACAACACCUCUGUAAAUAUUAUUUCUGACCCUACUACAUCGGGUAAUAUAUCAAAUAUGUCCAUGGGAAAAAACAUAAUGAAUAAUAUUAAUAAGAAAGAAAAUACAACACAGAGGGAUAUAAAUAAUAAUAUAUUUAGUACUGGUAUUAAUAUGAUGAAAACAUCCGUUAACAACAAUUUAGAAAAUAAUACAACUAAUACUAUGAAUAAUUAUAUUGAUGGAAUGAAUAGUAAUAACAACAAAAACAUAUCAACUCUCGCUACGAACAAUAGUACUGAUAAUAAUAAUAAUGGCGAUAGUUCUAGUAUAAAUAAUAACAACAGUAAUAACAAUAAUAAUAACAGUAAUAACAAUAAUAAUAACAGUAAUAACAAUAAUAAUAAUAAUAGUAAUAGUAAUAUGCAUAGAUACAACCGAUACAUGCCAAACAGAAAUAAUAUAGGUAACCCAUUAUUUAACCAAAUGUAUAAUUUGAAAUUACCUUAUAAUAAUAAUGAUGUUAUAAAUUAUAAUUUUAAUUUACAUAAUUUUUAUCAAAUGGGUUGUGAUAACAACAUGAAUAAAUCAUGGAUGAAUAGAUAUACUGGUUAUAUAGGACCAGUGGAGGUACCUCCUUACAAUAAUAAUCUUAACAGUGGUAACAUUGGCAAUAGUAGUAACAGUGGUAACAUUGGCAAUAGUAAUAACAGUAAUAACAGUAAUAACAGUAGUAAUAAGGAACAUGGGGGAAAUACUAGUGAUAUGAAUAACAAUAUAAACAGUCAAGUUCCUUAUAAUUCAUACAAUAUCCAUACACAAUCUAAUAAAAACAUAAAUGGUUUACAAACAAGUGGACGAACUAACUAUACAACGAAAGAAUCUAAUGGAAAUAAUUUAUCGACAUUUUAUUUAUAUAAUAAUGUAAAAAAUCAAAAUAAUGUAAAUGGUGUUGAACUGACAAAUAAACCAAGUACUGGAAUAAUUGAUAAUAUAAUAAAUAGUUUAAAUAACAAUACGAAUAAUAACAUACCUUCUGAUCAAACUAAUUCUUAUACUGGUUCAAAUAAAAAUGAGAAUAUAUCAUUAUGCACAAAUAAUGGAAAUGUAGGUAGUGAUAAUGUAUGUAGUGACAAUGUAUGUAGUGACAAUGUAGGUAGUGACAAUGUAGGUAAUGACAAUGUAGGUAAUGACAAUGUAGGUAAUGACAAUGUAGGUAAUGACAAUGUAGG